This 235-nucleotide long non-coding RNA is filed under the name Lathyrus oleraceus (garden pea). RNAcentral's name for it is "Pisum sativum (pea) long non-coding RNA (PSAT_LNC002231)". Lineage: Eukaryota; Viridiplantae; Streptophyta; Magnoliopsida; Fabales; Fabaceae. The record is from RNAcentral.
AACCGAAUGAUCGAUAAAUUAUAAUUAAUUAUUCCGAGCAUCUUGACUAAAAAAUAAAAAUAAAAGGGUAGAAAAUGAAUAAAUAUUGGGUGCAAAGUGCUCGAAAAAAUAAAACGACUUUCCCACAUUGAUCAACAUGAAAUAAACUUCUAAAAAACCUACAGGUUUUUGUUAAAUUUUGAAAUGAAAAUCGCCCGGUUAAAAUGCUCAGACGGAUCAGAGUGUGAUCGAAAAU